RNAcentral lists this long non-coding RNA (554 nucleotides) under Pan troglodytes (chimpanzee). RNAcentral describes it as "lincRNA". The record is from RNAcentral. Lineage: Eukaryota; Metazoa; Chordata; Mammalia; Primates; Hominidae.
GAGACACUGUACAUGAAGUUUCCAGAACCAGCCAUGUCCAUUUUACUAAUCAAGACUCUUUCCGUUAAACCUGCAACUCAAAUGACUUUAAGGAAAAAUGGAUUUCAUUGAUUCACAUAACUAUCACUCAAGGAGUAACUUUCAACAUAGUGAGAUCCUGAGGCUCAAAUAUUAUUACCCCAAACAACCUUCAGUACAUAAGUAAUGGCUGCUGGAUGUAACUUGCAAUUGAGUGGCAGGUCUGCAAGGAAAGAAUUCCAAAUAGAGGACUUUCUGAAAGCCUAAUUAUACAUAUUGAAUGUAACAAAAGGAAAAUAGUUUUUAAGGGUUCCAUGAACUGCUUCCUCUGACAUGAGAUCUAACAAGGCUAAAGACUAAAAUGCAGUUGUUUACAGCGUAAGUAGGAGGCCGUCCCGUGCAGGGCAAAAUCAACAGAGAGGAGACAGUCCUAUGCCUUCGAGAGACAGUCUGCUGAUACUGUCAUGAUGUCUAGUGACAGGCCAGAGAUCAAAACCCAACACCCUCAUUUACCUGACAGUGAUUUGGCCAAUCAC